UACGGAGGUGGCAAACGUUGCUCGGAAUUACUGGGCUUAAAGGGCGUGUAGGCGGCCGUCUAAGUCGGAUGUGAAAUCUCUCGGCCUAACCGAGAAACGGCAUUCGAAACUGGACGGCUAGAGUGCGGGAGGGGCAAGUGGAACUCCAGGUGUAGCGGUGAAAUGCGUAGAUAUCUGGAGGAACGCCGGUGGCGAAAGCGACUUGCUGGACCGCAACUGACGCUGAGGCGCGAAAGCUAGGGGAGCGAACGGG
RNAcentral lists this unclassified non-coding RNA (253 nucleotides) under uncultured Planctomycetota bacterium. RNAcentral describes it as "uncultured planctomycete contains 16S-23S intergenic spacer region". It matches the Rfam family "Bacterial small subunit ribosomal RNA", at positions 524 to 776 of the family's 1533-position model. The record is from RNAcentral. Lineage: Bacteria; Pseudomonadati; Planctomycetota.